GAGUUUGAUCGUGGCUCAGAACGAACGCUAUCGGUAUGCUUAACACAUGCAAGUCGAACGGACUAAUUGGGGCUUGCUCCAAUUAGUUAGUGGCAGACGGGUGAGUAACGCGUGGGAAUCUACCCAUCAGUACGGAAUAACUUUUAGAAUAAAAGACUAAUACCGUAUAUUCUCUACGGAAGAAAGAUUUAUCGCUGAUGGAUGAGCCCGCGUCAGAUUAGGUCGUUGGUGAGGUAACGGCUCACCAAGCCGACGAUCUGUAGCUGGUCUGAGAGGAUGAUCAGCCACACUGGGACUGAGACACGGCCCAGACUCCUACGGGAGGCAGCAGUGGGGAAUAUGGACAAUGGCGAAGG
RNAcentral lists this ribosomal RNA (356 nucleotides) under uncultured microorganism. Its description in RNAcentral is "bacterial SSU rRNA". It matches the Rfam family "Bacterial small subunit ribosomal RNA", at positions 9 to 381 of the family's 1533-position model. The record is from RNAcentral.